UUACUUACCUGGAUGGGGUUAAUGGACGAUCAAGAAGGUUCAUGGCCUAGGUAAGUGACAUCUAUUGCACUUAGGAGGGGUGCUGGCUUAAGGUCUCCCCAAGAGGAAGAGCCUACGUCAUAAUCUGUUGCAGAGAGGCUGUGCAAGUCCGGCCCCUG
Small nuclear RNA from Populus nigra (black poplar), 158 nucleotides. RefSeq annotates it as U1 spliceosomal RNA. Lineage: Eukaryota; Viridiplantae; Streptophyta; Magnoliopsida; Malpighiales; Salicaceae. The transcript has a single exon. The record is from RefSeq and is a predicted model, not a curated record.